CUCUCUUCCCUGCUGCCAUGCAAGAUGUGACUUUGCUUCUCAUUCGCCUUCCACCAUGAUUGUGAGGCCUCCCAAGCCAUGUGGAACUAUAAAGGAAACCUCUUUCCUUUAUAAACUACCCAGUUUCGGGCAUGCAGAGAAGCCUCUGUUCUCUCUGCCGCGCUGUGGCGUCUCACCUAGACACCUGGCCCCUGAAGCAGAGAUCUGUCUGCUGCCACCACAGCUCCUCUCUCCAGACUGUUCAGAUCUGGUCCCUGUAGGAUGGAAGUGCACACACUGUCUCUGCCUGUCCCCAGGGAGCAAGAUGUAAACUUCCUCCUUCAUCAUUCGGGCAAAAACUGAAUAAAUAGAUGAACACCAAAUUAUGGAAAUCUUCAUUAUGCAGGCCAGGUUGCCAAACAUGCCCAGACCUGCUUAAGCUGAGAAGU
Molecule: long non-coding RNA, 428 nt
Filed under: Homo sapiens (human)
Lineage: Eukaryota; Metazoa; Chordata; Mammalia; Primates; Hominidae
Description: non-protein coding lnc-GARS-1:4
Source: RNAcentral